Molecule: non-coding RNA, 109 nt
Organism: Phyllosticta capitalensis
Lineage: Eukaryota; Fungi; Ascomycota; Dothideomycetes; Botryosphaeriales; Phyllostictaceae
Source: the annotation of a GenBank genome assembly
UCCAUCGUGGUGUAGUGGUCCAGCAUUUCGGAUUCUCAUUUUCAAAAGCUCUGCCCAGGGCCAGCAAGUGUGAUUUCCGGAGACCCGAGUUCGAUUCUUGGCGAUGGAA